This 74-nucleotide transfer RNA is filed under the name Acropora cervicornis. Its description in RNAcentral is "tRNA-OTHER". It matches the Rfam family "tRNA". From Rfam's summary of the family: Transfer RNA (tRNA) molecules are approximately 80 nucleotides in length. Their secondary structure includes four short double-helical elements and three loops (D, anti-codon, and T loops). The record is from RNAcentral. Lineage: Eukaryota; Metazoa; Cnidaria; Anthozoa; Scleractinia; Acroporidae.
GGCUUGAUAGCUCAACUGGUCGAGCACUGCAACCCGUAUCACAGGGGUUAGGGGUUCGAAUCCCAUUCAAGCCU